AGAGUUGGCAUUAGACCAGCCGGAUCUUCGUAGUGUUCCAGCGUUCAGGACAGACAUGGGUUAAGAAAGUAGUAGUGUCGCAAGGAUUGUGAAACACCGCGAGUCGAGUAUGAAGUAUAUUUACCGGACGCUAUACCGCAGUAAAUUAUAACGUUCAACGCGUUCCCCGAGAAGCUACGUAAUAAUCCGAAAUGUCACGUCGCCCCUCUCUUUUCGUGCCGAUUGCAAAAAGAAAUAUAAGGAAUUCCGUUAAAAAGCAAUCUCUUGCUAUAAUAUAUCGUUCUUUUUUUUUGUCAUUUAACAAGUGAACGCGUUGUGAAUAUUUAUUUGAGAGCGUCUAGAGAGCAUGAACGAGAAACAAAAACAAAAUUGUUGAACCGAGAACGAUCCUGAUCUUUCUCACCCGGGUGUCGCGAGUAUUCUCAUUUCGCCGUGUGUUUGGGAAAUGAAAGGUGAGACGCGCCUGAGGUCUUGAACGCGAGCGAUCGGCAACUCGGAGAAAAGACCAGAAUCGUUGUACGAGAUGACGUGACGAUACAAUAGUUAGUAUGAUGAAAUGCGACCGAUGUAUGAUGUAGUUAUAUCACAAGGGCUAGAAGGACAGAGGACCAAAAAAAAUGCAUACAGUUUUAAGUGGUAGGCUUGUGAGAUAUUACGCAUUUAUACGCGUAUAUAUGCGUACACGUGUGCACAGGCAGACGGCUGAAUUGGCCAGUAGCUUCGACAGACAUUCCCCGCAAGUUAGGAAUAAUUAUCACUUGCAGACAGACACGUGUGUCGAUAUAUACGCGUAUACAGAUGUGUCCUGUGUACAUGUGUGUGUAUGUGUGUGUAUGCGUGUGUAUGUGUAUGUCACUGAUAAAACUUGAACUAUGUAAUACUAAAAUAUUAGGCAGUGGGCGAGUGUUUCGCUAGCAACGUACGGGCAGGGCCUGGCUAUUUGCGCUCGCUCCAGCUACUGCCUCCGCCACUCUGUCGCUACAGGCGCAGGGCGCAGGGCGCGCUAAGAGAGGCUCUGGCAUAUCUGCUAUCACAUGCCACCGCCUCAACGGACCAACGUUGUUGGUUGUCUGAUUAGCUUGAGCGUGCCAGCGCAGGGGACUCUAUUCUGGCAACAACGACCUGGCCAGCCAGCCCGGAUGGCGUACAGCGCAGCGCAGUAGGACUGAUAUCCAGUAUGUAGGUAGGUAGGUAAAGUAGUAGUAGUAGUAGUAGUGGUAGUAGUAGUAGUAGAAGACCCCGAUUUGGCCCCGGACUUGGCCCUUCACACGCGAUUGACGGACGGACGGACGGACGGAUAGAGGCACGGCGUCGCGGCCAGCGCAGACAAUGCAAACCAGUGCACCACCGAACAAAGAGCGGCGGCGGGCACCCCCGACAUGCUUUGCAUUACCCAGCGUGGGCCUGCGCGCAAUGUGCCUCUGCAAUACAAACAAAGAUCCAACCGCGUUAGCUGUAUGGUUAUCUCCAACCAUCCUCCUGUUUCAAUAUGCUCUUUUUUUUUGCUAUUUUUCUUUUCCUUUUGCCCUAUUCCUCUCCUACAUUCUUGCUGACUUUAAGCUUACAACACACGUUAAAGCUGUAAUGUCCCGUUCGUUCGAAAGAGAACCCGGACUCGAAUGCGACGUACGCUGCAAACCGAUUGUUUGCGUUGACAAAUGGAAUGUAAAUUAAGUUGAGCCAAGGAUAGCUCUUACGCAACGAAACAUUUGGUUUCGGUUAUCCUCCGCAUAUACGAGAUUUGGCUUGUCCGAUGGCAUCAGAGACUAUAUAUAGGAUCGACUUGCAUCCCGGAAAAAACUGACUGAUAAUACACGACAUCGUUGCGUCAUGAACAAUGGAGAAAUUCCAAUGACUUACCAAGACCGCGCGCAGCGACGUCUGUAGCAACAAGGAUUGGUGCCUUGCCUGUUCUGAAAUCUACAAGUUAGACAUAAAUUCGUCUUGCCGGACUCGAGAAAGUCCAGUAAUCUACCGGGCGUGGCGAUGACUAUUUCUACACCGCCGUCC
Vollenhovia emeryi is the source of this 2010-nucleotide long non-coding RNA. RefSeq lists it as uncharacterized. Lineage: Eukaryota; Metazoa; Arthropoda; Insecta; Hymenoptera; Formicidae. The transcript is spliced from 3 exons. The record is from RefSeq and is a predicted model, not a curated record.